GGGUGGUGCAGGUAGGGGCACCGGGGGGCCUGCACUGUGUGUGUGUGUGUGUGAGUGUGAUCGCCAUCGGGGUCGUGCAGGUAGGGGUCCCCGGGGCCCUGCACUCUGUGUGUGUGUGUGUGUGUUCACCAUCAGCCCUCUUGGGGCCCGGGGUCCUGUGCUGUGUGUGUGUAUAUGUGUGAGUGAUCGAUCGCCAUCAGGUCACACAGGUAGGGUUCCUGAGGCCACCUACACACAUAGGAUGUGGCAUGCCCAGAGUCCCCGCUUUCUGACCAGAGACUGGGAAGAGUGGGCCCUGAGACCCCCCACAUGCGGCCCCAGGAGCCAGCAGGGGCUCCUGUUCUCUCUCCACCUCAGCCCGUGCCCAAAGCGUCCCAGGUACAAGCCCACCUCUACCCGCCAGGUCCUCCCCACCUCGAGACCCCUGCGUGCGCGUGCCAUGCGGCCCGGGGCCAGGUCCUCCCCACCCCGAGACCCCGGCGUGCGCGUGCCAUGCGGCCCGGGGCCAGGUCCUCCCCCACCUCGAGACCCUUGCGUGCAUGUGCCAUGCGGCCCGGGGCCAGGUCCUCCCCACCUCGAGACCCCGGCGUGCGCGUGCCAUGCAGCCCGGGGGUUGACUGCUGUGGGGGCCCCCUCUGCUCUUGGGGCCGGUGUCCUGCAGCUUGCUUUUCCCACAGGCACUGAUUGU
This 688-nucleotide long non-coding RNA is filed under the name Pan troglodytes (chimpanzee). RNAcentral's name for it is "long non-coding RNA NONPTRT012338". Lineage: Eukaryota; Metazoa; Chordata; Mammalia; Primates; Hominidae. The record is from RNAcentral.